AAAUUGAAGAGUUUGAUCAUGGCUCAGAUUGAACGCUGGCGGCAGGCCUAACACAUGCAAGUCGAACGGUAGCACAGAGAGCUUGCUCUCGGGUGACGAGUGGCGGACGGGUGAGUAAUGUCUGGGAAACUGCCUGAUGGAGGGGGAUAACUACUGGAAACGGUGGCUAAUACCGCAUAACGUCGCAAGACCAAAGAGGGGGACCUUCGGGCCUCUUGCCAUCAGAUGUGCCCAGAUGGGAUUAGCUAGUUGGUGAGGUAAUGGCUCACCAAGGCGACGAUCCCUAGCUGGUCUGAGAGGAUGACCAGCCACACUGGAACUGAGACACGGUCCAGACUCCUACGGGAGGCAGCAGUGGGGAAUAUUGCACAAUGGGCGCAAGCCUGAUGCAGCCAUGCCGCGUGUAUGAAGAAGGCCUUCGGGUUGUAAAGUACUUUCAGCGGGGAGGAAGG
RNAcentral lists this ribosomal RNA (452 nucleotides) under Salmonella enterica. Its description in RNAcentral is "bacterial SSU rRNA". It matches the Rfam family "Bacterial small subunit ribosomal RNA", at positions 1 to 451 of the family's 1533-position model. Lineage: Bacteria; Pseudomonadati; Pseudomonadota; Gammaproteobacteria; Enterobacterales; Enterobacteriaceae. The record is from RNAcentral.